GUAACGCGUGGGUAACCUGCCAUAUACCGGGGGAUAACACUUAGAAAUAGGUGCUAAUACCGCAUAAGCGCACAGGGCCGCAUGGUCUGGUGUGAAAAACUCCGGUGGUAUAUGAUGGACCCGCGUCUGAUUAGCCAGUUGGCAGGGUAACGGCCUACCAAAGCGACGAUCAGUAGCCGGCCUGAGAGGGUGAACGGCCACAUUGGGACUGAGACACGGCCCAAACUCCUACGGGAGGCAGCAGUGGGGGAUAUUGCACAAUGGGGGAAACCCUGAUGCAGCGACGCCGCGUGAGUGAAGAAGUAUUUCGGUAUGUAAAGCUCUAUCAGCAGGGACGAAAAUGACGGUACCUGAGUAAGAAGCCCCGGCUAACUACGUG
This 379-nucleotide ribosomal RNA is filed under the name uncultured bacterium. RNAcentral describes it as "bacterial SSU rRNA". It matches the Rfam family "Bacterial small subunit ribosomal RNA", at positions 110 to 507 of the family's 1533-position model. The record is from RNAcentral.